Molecule: ribosomal RNA, 757 nt
Filed under: Fidelibacterota bacterium
Lineage: Bacteria; Pseudomonadati; Fidelibacterota
Description: bacterial SSU rRNA
Rfam family: Bacterial small subunit ribosomal RNA
Source: RNAcentral
AAUGGAGAGUUUGAUCCUGGCUCAGGACGAACGCUGGCGGCGUGCUUAACACAUGCAAGUCAAGGGGAAUCUUCAAUUCGUUGAAGUAGUACACUGGCGAACGGGUGAGUAACGCGUAGACAACCUGCCCGGUUGACUGGGAUAACCUCGUGAAAACGAGGCUAAUACCGGAUGAUAUCCAUGCGCUGUGGUGCAUGGAUCAAAGGAGGCUUCGGCUUCUACAAUCGGAUGGGUCUGCGUCUGAUUAGCUUGUUGGUGAGGUAAUGGCUCACCAAGGCGACGAUCAGUAGCUGGUCUGAGAGGAUGAUCAGCCACACUGGGAUUGAGAUACGGCCCAGACUCCUACGGGAGGCAGCAGUGGGGAAUUUUGCGCAAUGGGCGAAAGCCUGACGCAGCAACGCCGCGUGACUGAAGAAGCUCUGCGGAGUGUAAAAGUCUGUCAUAAGGGAAGAACAGUUCGGAGGUAAAUAAUCUUCGUUCUUGACGGUACCUUACAAGAAAGCACCGGCUAACUUAGUGCCAGCAGCCGCGGUAAUACUAGGGGUGCAAGCGUUGUCCGGAAUUACUGGGCGUAAAGGGUGCGUAGGCGUCUUUGUAAGUUGAUUGUUAAAUCCACCGGCUUAACCGGUGUCCUGCAAUCAAAACUGCAGAGAUAGAGUAAGAGAGAGGAAAGUAGAAUUCCUGGUGUAGCGGUGACAUGCGUAGAUAUCAGGAGGAAUACCGAAGGCGAAGGCAGCUUUCUGGCUCUUAACUGACG